Gavia stellata (red-throated loon) is the source of this 631-nucleotide long non-coding RNA. RefSeq lists it as uncharacterized. The record is from RefSeq and is a predicted model, not a curated record. The transcript is spliced from 3 exons. Lineage: Eukaryota; Metazoa; Chordata; Aves; Gaviiformes; Gaviidae.
ACUAAAUUACGAAGAAAAGACACAUUAUUUUGUCAUUGUUCAAGCAAAUGACUGAGGACAGAAUCUUAAUGAGCGAAGGACAAGUACAACCAGCCUGACAGUAGAUGUGCUCGAUGGGGACGAUGUGGGACCAAUGUUUCUUCCCUGUGUCUUGGUGAAUAAUACUUGUGACUGUAGACCUCUCACCUACCAAGCGAGCUUGCCAGAACUGACUGAUCCUGCCACCCAAGACGGUCUUGAAUCGCUCCACUCCAUCCAUUUCUGCUCUUCCAGUAAAAGGCUCCAGCACCUGCUCACAGCUGCAAUGAGAGAGGAUCAGCAGCUACCCCACAAGCCAGGACAGGAGUGUGCAAGUGCAGACCCGUUGUAAAACAAAGAGUGGGACUCAGAAGAAAGACUCCACUGAGAGGCCACUAACAGUCAAAAGCUCAAGAGCAGCAAAAGGCAGGACUUCUACCACCGUGUACACGGGUUGAGGCAGGACACAGGGCGUACACAGACCCUUCACAGCAUCUAUCAUCAUGCAAGGGAGUUUUGAUACCAACAGCUCUUGCCGGGAGCAGCAUCCUCUCUUUUGUACCCAGCGGUGUUUUGCACCCAAACUAAGGAGCAAAGAAAGUUGCAAUCAAUG